Molecule: long non-coding RNA, 2898 nt
Organism: Pygoscelis adeliae (Adelie penguin)
Lineage: Eukaryota; Metazoa; Chordata; Aves; Sphenisciformes; Spheniscidae
Exons: 5
Source: RefSeq, a predicted model, not a curated record
AAGAGACCUGCUAUUUCAGUGAAACUAAAGAAUAAAAAUAAAUAAACCAGAAAGCCUCUGCAAAAACAAUUUGACAGUUGCUAUUGAUUGAAGUAAUGGAGCAAGCAGAGUUCUAAGAAGUUGCAUAAAAGCAUCUUUGGUCUGCUUUAAAAUCCCUCUAAAAGAUACAGUGAUAUUACUCAUACGCUGUUCACCUAUCUGUUUCUUCUCAUCUCUAGGUCUCAAAAGCUGAACUGCUCUAAAUUCACAUGCCAAAGCAGAACCUAUUCUUCCUGACUCUGUGCCCUGCACUCAGCUAUCAGUCUUGCCUGCAAUGCUGUAAAGCACAUAUUGCUGUGGAAGACCCUGGCUGAUGAGAAACACAUAGUUCUUGUUUACCUGCUUGAGCAUCAAGUGGCGUCAACUGGGAUGACUGGAGAAGCCCAUCUCUUUCCGUCGUCCUCUGAUACCAGACACUUCUGGAGGAACUGCCGUUGCCUUGCUGGGAGACCGAAGUGGUGAGAUGCAGACCCGUGGGUGCCUUGCCGGGUCUGCUGUUUUCUGGUUGGAGUAUUUUUCAUAGUCUGCAUUAUAAGAAAACCCACACAUGAAGAAAGGGAGAAAGAAGUAAAUGGAAAACAAACUACAGUCAUGGCCAUUAAUUCUUCUGGGGAAAAGACGCCCCGACUUCUUCAAGCGUCCAGACCUGCUGCAGAAUAUGCGAGAAUUUCAUAUUUACUCAAAAGAGAUCUCCAUGUGCAUGUUACGAAAUAUUUCAUACCAAACACAAGCACAAGAUAAAUGUAGUUGGACUGGAUCUUGACUUGCAUCAAGAAAUCAAAGCAGGCAUGAAGGGAAGAGAGUACGGCAAGGCAUACCUUGUUCCCAGGUGCGAAGCACUGAUUGCGGCCAGCGUGUCCACUGCCACGCUGUGACUGUUCUCGGGAGUGUGCUACAGCACUUCACAGCAGCAUGGGACCACCAAGGGGGACUGUGAAAGCCAAUGAAGCAAAUAAGGUGAACAGCACCAAACUUUCGGGGGGGAAGCAAUUUUGGUGCAAUGUUGACAACCCAUACUUGAGAGCCAUUCUUUGCAGCGAGGCAAUGUGGGCAGGCAGAGCAGUGUUCACAUAUGGAUUGUGUAGGUCCCGUUGGUAUGCCACAGCUGAAGCACAUACAAUGAAGAGAGAGAGACUCGCAACUCAGUCGUGGGGCUGAAAAGGUGCAUUCAGAUCCUGCCACAGCUUUGACUCGCAAUCUGACAGACUGCGUACAUUUCAAGUUGUGGAACUCAAGCUUUUCAUAGUUCAGCUUUACGAAUGCUAGACAGUGUUUUUGCCACAUUUCAUCUAUCAGAUUUCUCAGUUUUACCCACUUUGCAUCAGAGUAAAUUAAACCCCUAGUUUUGCUGUCUUUCCUUGUUUGUAAAUGGGUGAUAAAGAGGUCAGCUUCAGAGAGGCCUUAUGGAGAGGAGGGUGGCAAUAGCUGCGAAGCGCCCUAUCUGGUGAAGUCUCAAAUGAAAGACAGGAUGGCUGUGCCAUCCUAAAGCCAUUAUAAAGUCUUUGAAAAUUAAGAUAAUAACAAGGCAGGCCCAUAUCUUUUGCUAGCAUGUGAGAUUCAGAAUCGCUGCUGCUGAACAGCAUUUCCAUGCCAGGAACCUGCACCAGCUGCUACGGCCACAGAUCAGUCCUUCAGUUGAUACCAAAGCAUGGGUUGUGCUCCAGUUCUUGGACUCCUUCACCUCUGUAUCACCAGGAUUUCUUCAGCACAGUCAUUAACAGCUCACACAUACCUGCCACACCUUCCAGCACACGCCUCUGCAUUCCUCGCCCUGCUCCAAGACAUGCCUUCUUCAUGGACUUGUGCUCUCGGAGCUCACGUUUGCUGUCUGUCUUAUUCAUAUGGUCCUAUGAAGUGCUGCUAAGUUGUGGUCAUGAUAAUUUAGCCCACAGCGACCCUGUCCUUGCAAGAACAGAUCAAGGGUAGAUUAUCCUGUCGCCUAACCAGUACUUUUUGGAAGUAUUUUACAACUUACAUAAAGAAAAUAAGUGCUGGAAAUACCUGAUCUGUAGUGACAACCUCUGGACCUUACUACACACAUAACACAAGCUAACGUCUGUCACUUAGUGCAUUUUCGUCUGUUCUCUGAUCUGUGACUGGAAUCUGCAAGCUUUCUCCCAGCCUUUUCCAGCUUAUAAAGCUUUUCCUACCGUCUCUUACAUUUACCAAGACUCCAGUUCCCAAGUGCUGUUGAUAUUUCCAGCUCUCAGAGUUUCUGUGACAGAGACAGCUCUGUCUUCCAGCGGAUGCGGUACCUGGUAGCUCUGAUGGAACAAGCUGGGGGUCACAGCACCUCACCCUGGCGGGUACCUUGACUCUGGACCUUGGCACAGGCCAGCCGAAAAAUGAUCCCACCUUCCCCCCCUUCUCGCCGUUCUUCUUACGCGGCACAGCAAAUCAAAACCUCAGAUCAGCACAACUCCUAUUGUUGCUUGAUUUGCAGUCUAGAAAAAAACCAAAAAUCAAGCUCCUCAUUUCCAUACAGCAAGUGGGAACCAGCAGUGGUUGGCAACUUUCUAGCCUUGGCCAAGGGCAAAGGAAAUAGUUAAUCUAUCACUCCUUUGAAACACAAAUCUCUCUGCUUCUUAUGGGGCAAGGGAAAGAACUGAAUCCUUGACAAAUGUUAAAGCGCUCAGCUUAGGCUGACUUCAUUUCCGAUUUUUCUGUUCCAGUCUCAAAUUUUAUGCCUUGAUUUUUAGUUUAAUCCUUUAUUUUUAAGGAUUACCUGGUAUCGACUGCUUCUCAAAACUAUUCAUUCUGUCUAUUAAUUAGACUUAUUAGCUGUUUGCCUAACAUGUUAACUGAUUAUAAUUAAAACAGAAUUCUGUUCUGGAAAAAGAAUCUAAGGAGUGAUAUUUC